AGGACUACUAAGAGUCAUCACACAAGAUCUGUCUCCAACACACUAAAAAUAGAAAGGAAUAGAAUAUCAGAUUUGGGAGGCCGAGCUUUUAGUUUAAUUUCCUUGGAUUUAGCUCAUUCAUUUAAGAGCACGCAAUGGAUUACUGGGACGACACACUAUUAAAUAUCUGGGCUGGAACAAGCCUUACAUCUGAAGGUACCCUACUUUGCUCCUCAUCAUAUGCUGUUUGGAUAUCCUGUGCACAUCUAUCCUGUGCACUGCUUCAACUCAGUAGAUCAACAAAGUAGUCCAUGUUGAUUGAGCUCCAAUUAAGUGCAAAACACAGAGAGGUGGCUAUAUUGUAUUUAGU
Canis lupus familiaris (dog) is the source of this 349-nucleotide long non-coding RNA. RefSeq lists it as uncharacterized. NCBI's taxonomy places the organism in Eukaryota, Metazoa, Chordata, Mammalia, Carnivora, Canidae. The transcript has 3 exons. The record is from RefSeq and is a predicted model, not a curated record.